CAACUUUCAACAACGGAUCUCUUGGUUCUGGCAUCGAUGAAGAACGCAGCGAAAUGCGAUAAGUAGUGUGAAUUUGCAGAAUUCAGUGAAUCAUCGAAUCUUUGAACGCACAUUGCGCCCCUUGGUAUUCCAUGGGGCAUGCCUGUUCGAGCGUCAUUU
This 159-nucleotide ribosomal RNA is filed under the name Paraphoma sp. RNAcentral describes it as "5.8S ribosomal RNA". It matches the Rfam family "5.8S ribosomal RNA". Rfam says of the family: 5.8S ribosomal RNA (5.8S rRNA) is a component of the large subunit of the eukaryotic ribosome. It is transcribed by RNA polymerase I as part of the 45S precursor that also contains 18S and 28S rRNA. Lineage: Eukaryota; Fungi; Ascomycota; Dothideomycetes; Pleosporales; Phaeosphaeriaceae. The record is from RNAcentral. RNAcentral also lists the same sequence under 1 other name.